GCCUCCCGGAGGGUUUCGCUUUCGCUUUCCUGCCGAUGUCGUUGAGGAAAAUGAAAGCGGUCGUGGCCAGGACUGGCGCAGCUGCCGUUUCAGGCGAGGGGCGCAGAAUGCAGCGGCCGCCAGCCUGGAGCGCGGGCCCUGGGGCCGCAACCCGCGCCGGGCGAGGUGGCAGCACACCCUGGGCCCCCCACUCCCCGCCGCAAGUCCUGAGGAUGGCCAGCAGAGAAACAAGAAAAUGGACUCCCUGGCUGCUGGAGAGUUGAAUGCCAGCCACCAGCCAUGGAUCACCUCUGCAGCCUGCACAGCCGGGCCUUUGGACUCCUGGAUGCUAGAGUGACCUGGGCGCUGAGGAGGGCCCCCGAGCCAGUACCAGGAAAGGAUAGACUCCUGCUUGCAGCAUUCCCAGCAGAGGCAUCGCCUGUGGACACCGCGUCUGUGUCUGUAUAUGGCAGAGCUCCCAGAUAUAUGCACAAGGGAGUGAAAAAAUGUGUUUGCACCCCAGUCUCUAAAAAUUCAACAGCCUGGUUACUUCUGGGUGGUAUAUCGUAGGUGGCUUUAAUACGUGUUAUUUGCUCAUCUGUAUUUCUUACUCUUUGCACAAUUAAACCAUGUUCCUUUUACUUAUGUACAUUUUUAAUAAAAGAAAGUUGUUAAUGACUC
This 660-nucleotide long non-coding RNA is filed under the name Homo sapiens (human). RNAcentral's name for it is "HSALNT0329535". Lineage: Eukaryota; Metazoa; Chordata; Mammalia; Primates; Hominidae. The record is from RNAcentral.